This 308-nucleotide ribosomal RNA is filed under the name uncultured bacterium. Its description in RNAcentral is "bacterial SSU rRNA". It matches the Rfam family "Bacterial small subunit ribosomal RNA", at positions 29 to 327 of the family's 1533-position model. The record is from RNAcentral.
AACGAACGCUGGCGGCGCGCCUAAUACAUGCAAGUCGAGCGAGAAGACGUAGCAAUACGUUUGUAAAGCGGCGAACGGGUGAGGAAUACAUGGGUAACCUACCCUCGAGGUGGGGAAUAACUAGCCGAAAGGUUAGCUAAUACCGCGUACGCUCCUUGGACUUCGGUUCAGGGAGGAAAGCGAUACCGUGGGUAUCGCGCUCUUGGAUGGGCUCAUGUCCUAUCAGCUUGUCGGGAGGUAACGGCUCACCAAGGCUUCGACGGGUAGCUGGUCUGAGAGGACGAUCAGCCACACUGGCACUGCGACAC